This is an RNA transcript of Apodemus sylvaticus (European woodmouse), 3111 nucleotides long. It is a transcript of the gene named translation initiation factor IF-2-like, with no coding region annotated. Lineage: Eukaryota; Metazoa; Chordata; Mammalia; Rodentia; Muridae. The record is from RefSeq and is a predicted model, not a curated record. The transcript is spliced from 3 exons.
AAGGUGCAGAAUAUGAAGCUCAUAGCUCUACUGGGCCAGAAUUCAGGGCCCAAGAAGAAAAUAAAUAAAAAAAAUUCAAAACCGAGAAUGCAACGCGGGUCUCCUCCGCGGAUUGAAGCGGGGAGACGCGCGGUAGGCCCUUCCGGUCCGAGCUGCCGUCACCGAUAGGCCGGGCGACGGGCCGAGCUUCCACCCGAGCCCGGGGAUUCUCGGCCUAGACUAGCCGGCUCCCUCUUGCCGGCUUUGGCCUUAGCGGCGCCUCGGACCAUGCACCGUGAUUUGCAACAGAAGCUCGGGACGCCACGGCGUGUCCUGGAGGAGCUGCGCGGAGCGCCGAACCUAAGCAGGCCGACUGAGGACGCGGCAACGGCAGAGGAGGCCGUGGCCGCCCCUCCCCCACCGGGCCGCUCCAACUGCCGCGGCGACGCGAGCAGCCGUCUCCGCGCCAGGCCCAACCGCCCGGCCAACCAAGGCCAAGCGAGGCGGCCUGAAGUGGCUGCGCCCCGCCUGCCCCCCACCACGGCCGCGCGAAGACGCCCAGGGCCCGUUACUCCGCGCGCCGCCACCGGUCAGGACGCGCCGCCCUCGGCUGAAGCGACCAACGGCAGUGGGGAGGCCGCGGACCUGAGACUUACUCAGGGGUCGGGUGCUCGGGAUCGUAGAAAUCCCCCAUCUUCGGUGGCGACUGCGACCGCAGCUGCUUCGUGUGGAGCAGCUGGAGGCGGCGACGCUAGCCCCCUCCCCGCGGCAGGCCGAGGCGGGGGAGGGGACCGGAGGGGAGGAGGCCGCUGGUCCGAUCGCGGCGGCGGCAGGGGCGGCCCGCGUCGCUGGCUGGCUAGCUCGCCCGCUCGUUCCCUCCCUCCCUCCCUCCCUCCGGCAACCGCCCGCCGCUCUCACCCUCACACACUCACUCCCGGAGCAACGCGCACCCCGCCCGCCCUGCAGCCUUGCAGGCCCAGCCCCUUAAAGAGACACGCACAGGCAGCCCACCGGCCGCCAGUCGGCGCGCCAGCCCCAGCACGCCGACCCUGGCAGGGGCGGGGUGCAACCCGCGGCCGGGCCCGGCCUAGCCUGCGGCUUUCCGGAACAAUAAGUCCCAGGGCCGAGUGCUGUAGGCGGGUCCCGGAGCUGGAGGAGCGCCACCGUUGCCCCUCCCUGGACGACCUCUGGGGAACAGCCCAAGGCCCUCAGGACACCCGCCUUCAUCCUUCGAAGCCCUCGGAGAGCCUGGCCUCCAGCUUGUGAGGUGCCAGUCACCACAACCUGCUGAAGAUGAAAGUUUUAUUGUGAAGUCUCUCACUGCUGUGAGGAUGAGAUGAGGUGCUGACCAGAAGAGGACAACAGAUGCCCUGGGACUGAGACAGGUUGCCAUGAGCUGCGCACUGGUGCUACAGGAACUGGACCUGGGUCUUCAGCAAGAACAUCAAGUACUCUUAACUGCUGAGCUAUUUCUUCAGUCCCCAUUUUUUGUUUAUGAGAAAAGGUUUAACUGUGUAGUCCAGACUAGCCUUGAACUCACCUGCCCCAGCCUCCCAAAUGCUAUUCCGGAAUACAGGCAUGUGCUACCAUCACCAACAAAAAAUACUUUUAGAGUGGAAAUCUCUAAGGAUUGUGCUACUUUUUUAAAAAAUUUUAUUUAUUUAUUAUAUGUGAGUACACUGUAGCUGUCUUCAAACACCUGAAGAGAGCAUCAGAUCUCAUUACAGAUUGUUGUGAGCCACCAUGUGGGUGCUGGGAUUUGAACUCAGGACCUUCAGAAGAGCAGUCAGUACUCUUAACUGCUAAGCCAUCUCUUCAGCCGGCUACUUUUUCAAAUACAUUAAUGGCUAACACUGUCAACAGAUCUAAACACCAUGGAGACAGACCUCUCUGGGCAUGUCUAGACUGAGUCAACUGGUGAGGAUGCACCAUCAAUGUAUGCAGUUUUAUUCCCUGUACUAGGUUCAGACUGAAUAAAAAGAAAGUAGGCUGGAGAGAUGGCUCAACGGUUAAGAGCACUUGGCUGGUAUUCCACAGGAACGCAGGUUCAAUUCCCAGCACCCAUAUGGCAGCUCAGAUACUCUCACACACAGACAUAUAUACAGGCAAAAUAGCAAUGUAAAUCACAUUUAAUUGGAAGGAAGGAAGGAAGGAAGGAAGGAAGGAAGGAAGGAAGGAAGGAAGGAAGGAAGGAAGAAGGAAAUAAACCCUAGCACUCCUGCUCCCUUGGCUUCCUGACUGUGUACACAGGCUGACCAGCCUCAAGCCUCUGCCACUCUGCCUUCUCUGUCAUGAUGGGCUACAUAAUCUGUGAUGGGCUACAGCAUCUGUGAAUCACAACAAACCAUUCCUUUCAAUCUGCUUUUGUCAGAUAUAUUGUCAUUGUCACAGCAAUGAGGAAAAUUGGUACAAAUAGUUCCUAAGGAAAAGACUAUAUUAAACUGAAGGAAAGGCCAUCCAGAGACUGUCCCACCUAGGGAUCCAUCUCACAUGUAGACACCAAUACCAGACACUAUUGCUGAUGUCAAGAAAUGCUUGCUGCAGGAUAUAAUCUGUCUAAUAUAUCUGUCUCCUGAGAGGCUCUGCCAGAGCCUGACCAAUACAGAUGUUACAGCCAACCAUCAAACUGAGCAUGGGAACCCCAAUGGAGGAGUUAGGGGAAGGACUGAAGGAGCUGAAGGUGUCUGCAGCCCCAUAGUAAGAACAACAAUAUCAGCUGGGCAGUGUGGCACAUGCCUUUAAUCCUAGCCCUUGGGAGGCAGAGGCAGGUGGAUUUCUGAGUUCAAGGCCAGCCUGGUCUACAGAGUGAGUUCCAGGACAGCCAGGGCUACACAGAGAACCCCUUUCUUGAAAAAACAAAAAACAAAAAACAAAACAAAACAAAAAAAGGAAAAAGAACAAUAUCAACUAACUGGACCCUCAGAGCUCCCAGGGACUAAACCACCAACCAGAGAGUACACAUGGAGGGACUCAUGGCUCCAGCUGCAUAUGCAGCAAAGGAUGGCCUUAUCUGGCAUCAAUGGGAAGGAAGGCCCUUGGUCCUGUUGAGGCUCAAUGACCCAGUGUAGGGGGGAUGCUAGAGAGGUGAGGCAGGAGUAGGUGGGUGGGUGCACUCUCAUAGAAGCAUGGAGG